AGUAGGGAAUAUUGCACAAUGGGCGAAAGCCUGAUGCAGCAACACCGCGUGUGCGAUGAAGGCCUUCGGGUUGUAAAGCACUUUUUGAGAGGAUGAGAAAGGACAGUACUCUCAGAAUAAGUCUCGGCUAACUACGUGCCAGCAGCCGCGGUAACACGUAGGAGGCAAGCGUUAUCCGGAUUUACUGGGCGUAAAGCGCGUGUAGGUGGUUUGGUAAGUUGGAUGUGAAAUCUCCCGGCUCAACUGGGUGAGGUCGUUCAAAACUGCUAGACUAGAGGACGGUAGAGGAAAGUGGAAUUCCAGGUGUAGUGGUGAAAUGCGUAGAUAUCUGGAGGAACACCAGUGGCGAAAGCGACCUUCUGGCCCGUUUCUGACACUAAGACGCGAAAGCUAGGGUAGCAAACGGGAUUAGAGACCCCGGUAGUCCUAGCCGUAAACGAUGUCAACUAGGCGUUGGUGGGUUAAUAGCCAUCAGUGCCGCAGCUAACGCGAUAAGUUGACCGCCUGGGGACUACGAUCGCAAGAUUAAAACUCAAAGGAAUUGACGGGGCCCCGCACAAGCAGCGGAGCGUGUGGUUUAAUUCGAUCUACACGAAGAACCUUACCUGGGCUUGACAUGUCGAUGAACGAUUGCGAAAGCAUGAGGCUCCCUUCGGGGACAUCGUCACAGGUGUUGCAUGGCUGUCGUCAGCUCGUGUCGUGAGAUGUUCGGUUAAGUCCGGUAACGAGCGCAACCCUCGCCGUAUGUUAUAUGUGUCAUGCGGGACCGCAGGUUUCAAACCUGAGGAAGGUGGGGAUGACGUCAAGUCAGCAUGGCCUUUAUGUCCAGGGCUACACACACGCUACAAUGGACGGUACAAUGGGUUGCCAAGCCGCGAGGUGGAGCCAAUCCCCCAAAGCCGUCCCCAGUUCAGAUUGUAGGCUGCAACUCGCCUGCAUGAAGUCGGAGUUGCUAGUAAUCGCGCGUCAGCUAUAGUGCGGUGAAUACGUUCUCGGGGCUUGUACACACCGCCCGUCACGUCAUGGAAGUUGGUAACACCUGAAGCCGGUAGCUCAACCCUCACGGGAGGGCGCCGUCUAAGGUGGGGCUGGUAACUAGGACG
This 1103-nucleotide ribosomal RNA is filed under the name uncultured bacterium. RNAcentral's name for it is "bacterial SSU rRNA". It matches the Rfam family "Bacterial small subunit ribosomal RNA", at positions 353 to 1482 of the family's 1533-position model. The record is from RNAcentral.